AUUGAACGCUGGCGGCAGGCCUAACACAUGCAAGUCGAGCGGAUGAAGGGAGCUUGCUCCUGGAUUCAGCGGCGGACGGGUGAGUAAUGCCUAGGAAUCUGCCUGGUAGUGGGGGAUAACGUCCGGAAACGGGCGCUAAUACCGCAUACGUCCUGAGGGAGAAAGUGGGGGAUCUUCGGACCUCACGCUAUCAGAUGAGCCUAGGUCGGAUUAGCUAGUUGGUGGGGUAAAGGCCUACCAAGGCGACGAUCCGUAACUGGUCUGAGAGGAUGAUCAGUCACACUGGAACUGAGGCACGGUCCAGACUCCUACGGGAGGCAGCAGUGGGGAAUAUUGGACAAUGGGCGAAAGCCUGAUCCAGCCAUGCCGCGUGUGCGAAGAAGGUCUUCGGAUUGUAAAGCACUUUAAGUUGGGAGGAAGGGCAGUAAGUUAAUACCUUGCUGUUUUGACGUUACCAACAGAAUAAGCACCGGCUAACUUCGUG
This 484-nucleotide ribosomal RNA is filed under the name uncultured bacterium. Its description in RNAcentral is "partial 16S ribosomal RNA". It matches the Rfam family "Bacterial small subunit ribosomal RNA", at positions 30 to 507 of the family's 1533-position model. The record is from RNAcentral.